GACGAACGCUGGCGGCGUGCUUAACACAUGCAAGUCGAACGGAGUACCCUUGAUUGAGGUUUCGGCCAAAUGAUAGGAAUACUUAGUGGCGGACUGGUGAGUAACGCGUGAGGAACCUGCCUUUCAGUGGGGGACAACAGUUGGAAACGACUGCUAAUACCGCAUAAUGUGCAGAGGGGACAUCCCUUUUGCACCAAAGAUUUAUCGCUGAAAGAUGGCCUCGCGUCUGAUUAGCUAGUUGGUGGGGUAACGGCCCACCAAGGCGACGAUCAGUAGCCGGACUGAGAGGUUGACCGGCCACAUUGGGACUGAGAUACGGCCCAGACUCCUACGGGAGGCAGCAGUGGGGAAUAUUGGGCAAUGGACGCAAGUCUGACCCAGCAACGCCGCGUGAAGGAAGAAGGCCUUCGGGUUGUAAACUUCUUUGACGAGGGAAGAAAGAAAUGACGGUACCUCGAAAACAAGCCACGGCUAACUACGUGCCAGCAGCCGCCGUAA
RNAcentral lists this ribosomal RNA (498 nucleotides) under uncultured bacterium. RNAcentral's name for it is "partial 16S ribosomal RNA". It matches the Rfam family "Bacterial small subunit ribosomal RNA", at positions 28 to 523 of the family's 1533-position model. The record is from RNAcentral.